GUAGGUGGCAAGCGUUGUCCGGAAUUAUUGGGCGUAAAGCGCGCGCAGGCGGUUCUUUAAGUCUGAUGUGAAAGCCCACGGCUCAACCGUGGAGGGUCAUUGGAAACUGGAGAACUUGAGUACAGAAGAGGAAAGCGGAAUUCCACGUGUAGCGGUGAAAUGCGUAGAGAUGUGGAGGAACACCAGUGGCGAAGGCGGCUUUCUGGUCUGUAACUGACGCUGAGGCGCGAAAGCGUGGGGAGCAAACAGGAUUAGAUACCCUGGUAGUCCACGCCGUAAACGAUGAGUGCUAAGUGUUAGGGGGGUUUCCGCCCCCCUUAGUGCUGCAGCUAACGCAUUAAGCACUCCGCCUGGGAGUACCGGCCGCAAGGCUG
RNAcentral lists this ribosomal RNA (374 nucleotides) under uncultured organism. Its description in RNAcentral is "partial 16S ribosomal RNA". It matches the Rfam family "Bacterial small subunit ribosomal RNA", at positions 527 to 896 of the family's 1533-position model. The record is from RNAcentral.